CCUACGGGUGGCAGCAGUGAGGAAUAUUGGUCAAUGGACGAGAGUCUGAACCAGCCAAGUAGCGUGAAGGAUGACUGCCCUAUGGGUUGUAAACUUCUUUUAUAUGGGAAUAAAAUGUUCCACGUGUGGGAUUUUGUAUGUACCAUAUGAAUAAGGAUCGGCUAACUCCGUGCCAGCAGCCGCGGUAAUACGGAGGAUCCGAGCGUUAUCCGGAUUUAUUGGGUUUAAAGGGAGCGUAGGUGGAUUGUUAAGUCAGUUGUGAAAGUUUGCGGCUCAACCGUAAAAUUGCAGUUGAAACUGGCAGUCUUGAGUACAGUAGAGGUGGGCGGAAUUCGGUGUGGAGCGGUGAAAUGCUUAGAUAUCACGAAGAACUCCGAUUGCGAAGGCAGUUCACUGGACGGCAACUGACACUGAGGCUCGAAAGUGUGGGUAUCAAACAGGAUUAGAUACCCGUGUAGUC
This 460-nucleotide ribosomal RNA is filed under the name uncultured bacterium. RNAcentral's name for it is "partial 16S ribosomal RNA". It matches the Rfam family "Bacterial small subunit ribosomal RNA", at positions 338 to 795 of the family's 1533-position model. The record is from RNAcentral.